RNAcentral lists this RNase P RNA (306 nucleotides) under Flavobacteriaceae bacterium. RNAcentral describes it as "RNase P RNA component class A". It matches the Rfam family "Bacterial RNase P class A". Rfam says of the family: Ribonuclease P (RNase P) is a ubiquitous endoribonuclease, found in archaea, bacteria and eukarya as well as chloroplasts and mitochondria. Its best characterised activity is the generation of mature 5'-ends of tRNAs by cleaving the 5'-leader elements of precursor-tRNAs. Cellular RNase Ps are ribonucleoproteins. RNAcentral also lists the same sequence under 1 other name. Lineage: Bacteria; Pseudomonadati; Bacteroidota; Flavobacteriia; Flavobacteriales; Flavobacteriaceae. The record is from RNAcentral.
UAAGCAGACUACCUUAUCGCUGUUCUGAAAAGGAGAGAGGAAAGUCCGGACACCAUAGUACAAUAUAGCGGGUAACGCCCGUCCGUCGUAAGAUGCGGACAAGUGCAACAGAAAGUAUGUACAGGUAAUGCUGUAGUGAAACCAGGUAAACUCUAUGUGGUGCAACGUUAUGUAAACCAGCGCUUGAGAGUUGUGCGCUCGAUGUUGGAGGGUAAACGGUUUGAUGCUGUAAGUAAUUACAGUACUAGAUAAAUGAUAAGGACUCUUUUUAAGAGGACAGAAUCCGGCUUAUGGUCUGCUUAUUUU